AUAUACUCCUAGGAAGCCAUUGUGUAUGUAAAUGAAGAACAGAAAUGCUAAACGAUUGAGAGCUCUUGCUAACUUCAACUAAUUGUGAUCAAUUAAUCCUUCUUUUUCUUAUCUUUAGGACCUUCUUUUUGAGAGGAGCUAGUAACUUCUUGCUUCGUACGUUUCCGUUUUACUAAUCCACCUAAAUCAUUGGCAUUUUUCACAGCUUCAGCAACAGCUUGAGCGAGACUGCUGCUAUCCUUAGAUAAUAAGGAUGACUCAUGCAUCUUUGACAUAACAGCUUCUUCCAAACUUGGCGCGCCAUGCUUUAAAUCAAGCGUCUUUUGUUCAAGUUCCGAUAGCAUUUCGCGCAAAUUCUCAAGAUCGCUAGUUAACGUGCUUUCCUCAGCCUUUUGCUUUCCUUUCCCUUUCUUAUCCGUAACUUCAUUUUCCCGCUCAUUUAAGACAUUUUUUAAGAUUUCUGCAGCCUUUUCCACAUGUUCACAAGCGCGGGACUUGUUAGAGGGAUCUUCUGGAUUGGUAAACUCAAGUGCUAGUGCAAGCUUAUAGUGGGCUUCACUUAAAAGUGUAUUAUUUGAAACGUUGUAAACCUUUUCUUUCCACUCAAGGGCCGUUUUUAAAUCCUGAGAAGCCUGAGAAAAGUUUUCAAUUUCGAGAGAAAGUUCUCCCAAUAAAUCGUAAAUAUCCGCCAGUCUUAUCUUUUCAUCCUUACUGUCAGGAUAAGCAUCUACUGCUUUUGACUGCAUGACUCUUGUUAGAUCUAGCACCUCCCAAGCAACGUUAAAAUCGUCUUCAUCUUCUUCAGAAGCUGGAGAUGCUUCGUUUGUUUCUUUUUCUUCACUUUCCUUCUCUGGAUGUGCUAUUGAUGAAUUUUCUUCAUUGACGGUAUAUUUAUUUUCAAUUUUUUGACCAGAAAAUGUGAACGAGCCAAUAGCUUCUGGUUCUUCAAAACUUUCGGUUGCUUGAGACACAGACUCCUUGGCACCCAACGCAUUUCCCAGGACUUGACUAUUUUCAAUAGCUAUUUGAAACAGAGAUUUUCCAUACAGCCAAAGAACAUUUCUAUUCUCCAAACUUUCAGAACCAUGAAUGGACUCUGACUGCAUGAGCGCUUGACCAUACUUAUCAACGGCUUCCUCAUAAUUUUUUUGAGCAUAAGCCAUAUUACCUUGAGUGACUAGUUGCUCAAUUGCUCGCGAAUCCGAAGAAGAAGGGUUUUUGGUAUCAGCAUCUGUAGCACUAUUGCCUUUGCUAUUUUCCAGUGUUUUCGUAUCAGAAGACAUUUUUCGCGUAACUUUUAAAAAUUAUGAAGUUCAAGACUUCAAGUAAUAGGUACGACAAUUAGAUAUUACGCUAGGUCUACCAAAGUGACCCAACAGACUGAAUAGUGAAAAAGAAAAAACGACUCGAUAAUUCACUUUU
Non-coding RNA from Schizosaccharomyces pombe (fission yeast), 1422 nucleotides. The record is from the annotation of a GenBank genome assembly. NCBI's taxonomy places the organism in Eukaryota, Fungi, Ascomycota, Schizosaccharomycetes, Schizosaccharomycetales, Schizosaccharomycetaceae.